Molecule: ribosomal RNA, 1526 nt
Filed under: uncultured bacterium
Lineage: Bacteria
Description: partial 16S ribosomal RNA
Rfam family: Bacterial small subunit ribosomal RNA
Source: RNAcentral
GAGUUUGAUCCUGGCUCAGGACGAACGCUGGCGGCGUGCUUAACACAUGCAAGUCGAACGGUGAUGCCCAUCUUGCUGGGUGGAUCACUGCCAAACGUCUGAGUAACACGUGAGCAACCUGCCCCUGACUUCGGAAUAAGCCUUGGAAACGGGGUCUAAUACCGGAUAUGACGUCUCGCCGCAUGGUGCGGUGUGGAAAGUUUUUCGGAUGACGAUGGACUCCCACUCUAUGAGCUUGAUGUGGGGAUGAUGGUCUAACAUGGCUUUGACUUUUAGCCAGUCUGACAGGCUUACCGGAUCCCCUGCCUCUGAAACGCGCACUGUACUCCGACGGAAGGCCACAAUGUAGAAUAUUGGAUGAUGUGACAACGUCUGAUGCUUCCACCCAGCUGGAGGCAUGACGCUCUUCUGAUUGCACGCCUCUUUCCGCUGGCAACAAGCGAAGAGGAUUGUACCUGUUGCGAAACUUACGGCUAACUACUCAGGACACAGAGCUGACUAAUACGUAUGCACGCACUGUGUGUCCGACAAUUAUUGGGGCCACCAUCUCUGGUAGUUUCCUUGUCACGUCUGCCGUUGAAAACCGUUCUUCUCAGCCUCAUCGCUGUAAUCCGCAUGCUCCGCACGCUUGUGCGGGCCCCCGAGACUGCAAUUCCUGUUGAAGCGUGCGAAUGUACUCAUAUCACGAGGAACUUAGAUGCGUUAGCUGCGGUCUCUGAACUCGUGCUGAGAGCUCAGGAGCUAAUGCCUGACGAUUACACAGUGUUACUAUCCCCUGAUCUAAUCUGUGUUCGCUCCCCAUGCACUCGCUGCGGAGCUCUUUCUGCGACUCCGAUGCCGCAGCUAACGCAUUAAGUGCCCCGCCUGGGGAGUACGGCCGCAAGGCUAAAACUCAAAGGAAUUGACGGGGGCCCGCACAAGCGGCGGAGCAUGCGGAUUAAUUCGAUGCAACGCGAAGAACCUUACCAAGGCUUGACGUGCGCCGGAAACUGCCAGAGAUGGUGGCCCCGUAAGGUCGGUGCACAGGUGGUGCAUGGUUGUCGUCAGCUCGUGUCGUGAGAUGUUGGGUUAAGUCCCGCAACGAGCGCAACCCUCGUCCCAUGUUGCCAGCGGGUUAUGCCGGGGACUCAUGGGAGACUGCCGGGGUCAACUCGGAGGAAGGUGGGGAUGACGUCAAAUCAUCAUGCCCCUUAUGUCUUGGGCUUCACGCAUGCUACAAUGGCCGGUACAGAGGGCUGCGAUACCGUAAGGUGGAGCGAAUCCCAAAAAGCCGGUCUCAGUUCGGAUUGGGGUCUGCAACUCGACCCCAUGAAGUCGGAGUCGCUAGUAAUCGCAGAUCAGCAACGCUGCGGUGAAUACGUUCCCGGGCCUUGUACACACCGCCCGUCAAGUCACGAAAGUUGGUAACACCCGAAGCCCAUGGCCCAACCCUUGUGGGGGGAGUGGUCGAAGGUGGGACUGGCGAUUGGGACUAAGUCGUAACAAGGUAGCCGUACCGGAAGGUGCGGCUGGAUCACCUCCUUUCU